Molecule: long non-coding RNA, 1570 nt
Organism: Mustela lutreola (European mink)
Lineage: Eukaryota; Metazoa; Chordata; Mammalia; Carnivora; Mustelidae
Exons: 6
Source: RefSeq, a predicted model, not a curated record
UGACAAGUGUCCUUGUUUCAUCUCCGCGUGAGGCACAGCGGCCAAGUGAGUGAGGGGACAGCAGCACAGCAGACACUCAACAGGCCGUCCACACUCGCGUCACUCACCCUGGGACGGCUGGCAUUUCGGGUCAGUGAGGACGCGGCAGCCCGCGCGGAGCACCCGUGACGCAGGACGCACAGCCCCUGAAGUUUCAGAAGAUGCGCACGACAUAGAAGACGCAAACUUUCAGACACAAACAAGGGGACACACCCACGGACACACCUGUCUCGGACAGGACAGACCCACGGUCCCUCCUGGAGGACGGCAGGGACGCAGGAGCUGGGACAGAGGGGUGGAGGUCUGUCAGCGGGAGGCGGUGAAUUCUCACGGGGUUCUGCAGGGGUUGGGUGAGGGGUCUGUCCCGGCAGAGACAAGGACAAAGAACAUUUUGGAUGGACAAAGUGGCAUACGUGGCCAUGCACAGAGUCUUGACCUUGAGUACGGGGUGCAGGGCAUUUCACAGUCCAGGCCAGUCGGAAGGGAGGCUGAAGGUACACAGUUCGCUAGAUGUGCUGCCGGAUGCUUGGCCAGAAGUGUUGGCAGUCUCGCCCAAGAAAGGAAAUAAUAAAACUGAACUUCGGAGAAGUCAAGUCUCCCUUGUCAGAGCCGACAAACGGUCUGAGAAGCUGAAAAACAACAUAACCGUGCCUGUCUCAGGCUGGCCCAUUCCACUGUGAUAGCCAAGAAAGGCUACGGAGAAAAAUAUUAUGACUCACAUCCUGGCAUCGACGUGACACAACACCUCAAGAUGAGCGUGUUUUGAAGAGCUGACAUUCACACAGCAUCUAGACGCCAAAAUGGUCCUUGCACCGGGUUCACGUCUCUUUCCUCUUUGUCAGACUGUCCCAGGGACAGACACGUGUCUACGGCUCUGCCUUUCUGUCCUCUCCUUGCCCACUGCACUGCCGGCACGUCCCACCGGGUCAGGAACCCUCCACCGUGCCCUGAGGUCUUCCAGGAUUUCAAUUCCGAUUCCCAGCCCUGGGUCACAUGCUCACCAUUCUGGGCCCUACGGCACGUGCUUGACUGAGACCACCGAAGCGUCUGGACCUCAGAAGCCCCUGCUGAGCGGUCCUGUGCUCGCAGACGUGUCCUCCUGCACCCCUCCCUGGGACGCGGCACACACAAGGGAAGAAGUCGGCAUGUGUGUGCUUAGCCCCUUAGCAAGCAUCGGGACAAUUAAUGGGGAACGUCUCAAUGACAAUGUUUCUUUCUCCAAGAAACUUUGAAUUAAUUCUUCAAAUUAUUGUGCUGUGCGGGGUGGGGUGGGGGCAGGUUUGGGAAAAAUCUUGCAUUGAUUUUAGAGAAAUGCUAGUUUUCCCAGAAAUCUGAAGGUGGAGUAUGCUUAUACUAUAGUGAACAAAGGUGUCCAGACACUGUGAAAUCCAGUCUUUCUUCUCUCCCAAAUUACAGAGCGUGAGAAGUGGUUUCCUGGCUUUCCGCUUCCUGCUCCGAGCAUGUUGGGAAGUGAGACCACAGGAGUCUAGAUUUACAUUGUUGGGAUUUUUUUUUUUUUUUCAGUAAAUGC